RNAcentral lists this ribosomal RNA (519 nucleotides) under uncultured bacterium. RNAcentral's name for it is "bacterial SSU rRNA". It matches the Rfam family "Archaeal small subunit ribosomal RNA", at positions 345 to 866 of the family's 1478-position model. The record is from RNAcentral.
AACCUCCGCAAUGUGAGAAAUCGCGACGGGGGGAUCCCAAGUGCCAUUCUUAACGGGAUGGCUUUUCAUUAGUGUAAAGAGCUUUUGGAAUAAGGGCUGGGCAAGACCGGUGCCAGCCGCCGCGGUAACACCGGCAGCUCUAGUGGUAGCAGUUUUUAUUGGGCCUAAAGCGUCCGUAGCCGGUUUAAUAAGUCUCUGGUGAAAUCCUGUAGCUUAACUGUGGGAAUUGCUGGAGAUACUAUUAGACUUGAGACCGGGAGAGGUUAGAGGUACUCCCAGGGUAGAGGUGAAAUUCUGUAAUCCUGGGAGGACCGCCUGUUGCGAAGGCGUCUAACUGGAACGGUUCUGACGGUGAGGGACGAAAGUUAGGGCGCGAACCGGAUUAGAUACCCGGGUAGUCCUAACUGUAAACGAUGCGGACUUGGUGUUGGGGUGGCUUUGAGCUGCUCCAGUGCCGAAGGGAGCUGUUAAGUCCGCCGCCUGGGAAGUACGGUCGCAAGACUGAAACUUAAAGGAAUU